GUUGAAAGACCAGUUCCCGUACGAUCAUCGAAGUUAAGCAACGUCGAGCCUGAUCAGUACCUAGAUGGGUGACCGCUUGGGAAUACCAGGUACAGUA
Non-coding RNA from Acanthosepion pharaonis, 97 nucleotides. The record is from the annotation of a GenBank genome assembly. Lineage: Eukaryota; Metazoa; Mollusca; Cephalopoda; Sepiida; Sepiidae.